GAGAGAGACAGAGAACCACCAACAGGACGCUUUGCCAUCUCUGCUUCUCUGUCAUACAGGACUCCAUCCUUCUCAUGUCACUGCUGUGUUGAAAUGGUUCUCGCUGAACACACCCCGUCUCCCCUGCGAGAGGGACUGACUCCCUUAUGAGAAGAGGAGGAGACACCGAGUGUGUGGCAAGCAGUGGGAACGCGGCCGUCUGCAAGCCAGGAAGAGAGCUCUCACCAGAAACCAGCUCCACCAGCAC
Molecule: long non-coding RNA, 247 nt
Organism: Dama dama (fallow deer)
Lineage: Eukaryota; Metazoa; Chordata; Mammalia; Artiodactyla; Cervidae
Exons: 3
Source: RefSeq, a predicted model, not a curated record